AGGCUCGCCGGCCUCUGGCUCAGGAAAUUUUGGGAGACUGUUCUGUCUCUGCCUCCCACCUCGCUGUAGGAGUCUUCGGAUUACAGACGUGAGCACUGCAUCCGGUUUCCAUGGAUCCGGGAAUUGAACUCGGGUCAUAACACUUGUGCCGCUGCGACUCUCGUCUUCCAAGCUGUCUCCCCGUCUUCUUCCUCCCUUACAGACCAACACGAUUAAUCACACGCAGAGGGGAACAACUUGCCCUUCUCCCAGCUGAUAGUCUCACACCCAGAAUAUAUCAAAGGCAUUCACAACUCCAAAGCAACAUGAUGCAUGAUCAUUUAACAGGUGGAUGGACGACCAGGAGGACACUUUGUUGACGAAGACAGAUGGAAGUAUUGGCCCGUGCCCAGCCAGAAGUGUAUUCCCUCACCACCACCACCACUGCCUUGACAGCUCCUCCCUCUUCUCUGAUCUCCUGUUCAGGGAGGCCUCUCCUGACAUCCGCUUCUAGCUUUGCUAGGCUGGAUGGUCAGUGGAAGUUUGUCCUCCUAUGCCCUCCAGUCCAUCUCUGUUACCUUCCCUGGAAUAUCUCGGAGUCCGGGAACUGUCCCGGAGUUGGGAGGCCAGCGAGGAGGCAGGUCGAGGGGCCAGGCUGAGGAAGGCAGAGUACAGACACUGGGCUGAGGAAGAACGUUUGUUGUCGAGAAGACCAUACUUGGCGGAAGUUGCCAGAUCCCACCUGAAACAGAUAAGAAUAUUAAACUAGUGUAAAUAUUUUAACCAAUGAGCCGAAUCUCAGGCUCUCCCUAUGAAGUCCCCUUGCCACCUGGGAGGCUGUGUUCUCUGGACGGCCAAUAAAAUGGUGCAUUUGUACA
This 857-nucleotide long non-coding RNA is filed under the name Mus spicilegus (steppe mouse). RNAcentral's name for it is "lncRNA (ENSMSIG00000007655.1)". The record is from RNAcentral. Lineage: Eukaryota; Metazoa; Chordata; Mammalia; Rodentia; Muridae.